UCGGGAGGGCGCUUACCACUUUGUGAUUCAUGACUGGGGUGAAGUCGUAACAAGGUAACGGUAGGGGAACCUGCGGUUGGAUCCCCUCCUUACCUUAAAGAAGC
RNAcentral lists this ribosomal RNA (104 nucleotides) under Salmonella enterica subsp. enterica serovar Schwarzengrund. Its description in RNAcentral is "partial 16S ribosomal RNA". The stretch from base 1 to 92 matches the Rfam family "Bacterial small subunit ribosomal RNA", at positions 1442 to 1533 of the family's 1533-position model. Lineage: Bacteria; Pseudomonadati; Pseudomonadota; Gammaproteobacteria; Enterobacterales; Enterobacteriaceae. The record is from RNAcentral.